AUGGAGCCGACCUUGAAAUACCACCCUUUAAUGUUUGAUGUUCUAACGUUGACCCGUAAUCCGGGUUGCGGACAGUGUCUGGUGGGUAGUUUGACUGGGGCGGUCUCCUCCUAAAGAGUAACGGAGGAGCACGAAGGUUGGCUAAUCCUGGUCGGACAUCAGGAGGUUAGUGCAAUGGCAUAAGCCAGCUUGACUGCGAGCGUGACGGCGCGAGCAGGUGCGAAAGCAGGUCAUAGUGAUCCGGUGGUUCUGAAUGGAAGGGCCAUCGCUCAACGGAUAAAAGGUACUCCGGGGAUAACAGGCUGAUACCGCCCAAGAGUUCAUAUCGACGGCGGUGUUUGGCACCUCGAUGUCGGCUCAUCACAUCCUGGGGCUGAAGUAGGUCCCAAGGGUAUGGCUGUUCGCCAUUUAAAGUGGUACGCGAGCUGGGUUUAGAACGUCGUGAGACAGUUCGGUCCCUAUCUGCCGUGGGCGCUGGAGAACUGAGGGGGGCUGCUCCUAGUACGAGAGGACCGGAGUGGACGCAUCACUGGUGUUCGGGUUGUCAUGCCAAUGGCACUGCCCGGUAGCUAAAUGCGGAAGAGAUAAGUGCUGAAAGCAUCUAAGCACGAAACUUGCCCCGAGAUGAGUUCUCCCUGACUCCUUGAGAGUCCUGAAGGAACGUUGAAGACGACGACGUUGAUAGGCCGGGUGUGUAAGCGCAGCGAUGCGUUGAGCUAACCGGUACUAAUGAACCGUGAG
RNAcentral lists this ribosomal RNA (741 nucleotides) under Escherichia coli. RNAcentral describes it as "partial 23S ribosomal RNA". It matches the Rfam family "Bacterial large subunit ribosomal RNA", at positions 2180 to 2915 of the family's 2925-position model. Lineage: Bacteria; Pseudomonadati; Pseudomonadota; Gammaproteobacteria; Enterobacterales; Enterobacteriaceae. The record is from RNAcentral.